UACGGAUAGACGAAAGCCCUUCAUAUAAGCGCAAGAAUAUGGCUUGCGCGUCUCUACCGGGCCGCCGUAAACGGCCCGACUAUGAAGGCAGAAGACGCUGCU
This is a non-coding RNA of Geobacillus sp. CAMR12739, 102 nucleotides long. NCBI's taxonomy places the organism in Bacteria, Bacillati, Bacillota, Bacilli, Caryophanales, Anoxybacillaceae. The record is from Rfam.